GCCCGAGAGGCGGUGGCGCCCCUCACCGCGGCCCCGGGGCGCUCCUCCCGGCUGCCUUCACACCCCCUUCUCGACCUUCGGGGUCCCUUCAGCAGAGCCCUACGGCUGCGGCCUCGUUCACCGCUGCUACGUGUGAUCACCGUGCACCGCGCCGAGCUGCCGCCAGCCCCGGCUGCCUUCCUGCGGGUACCGGGCUGGGGAAGAGCAAACAAGCUGUUGUUUGUAGAGCGCGCAGGAACACGGGAUGCUGAAUAGCCGUGUGUGCAGCUAUUCCUGUCUUAACUAUCCUGACUCCAAAUUCUUCCAGUGGCCUCCUCAUGCUCCUUCAUCUGCCCUGUUCUCUGGUGUCACAGGGACUUCUUCAGUGCCUUACACACUUCUCCGUGGAUGAAAUGGAGCAGCCUGGCACAAAGCCUGUGAGCCUUCACCAACGAUUUAAGCAGAGCCUGGUGGUCUUCAGGGGAGGAAGCCAUCUGCUCUUAACUACAUUUCCAGUGGCCAAAAGACACCUCGUGGAGAACUGCUGAUGUUCCUUUUAAUGUCAUAAAGAAGGUGAACAAAGCACUUCUUCCUGGGCUUCACCACUAUCCUCUUCCAAAGGCUCAGCACGCUCACUGCAUUCUCUGCAGCACUCACCUGGUGCCCACUGAUGCAGACAAAGACUUGGAACAGCAGCAUGACCGAACAGAGAUCACAAGAUCCUUCCUGUGAUUCAUCAGUCUUCUUGAUGAACCUCAACCUGACUGAUGUCCUCAUAAAGAGAGGUGCAGGAACUGAAACCCCAGCAGAGAUGAGUUACUGACCACUCACACCGACUGGACAAAUUACCUAUGAGCAUCUUCAGUACAGCUAGCAAGUGUUUGAAUUUCUCCAUUUAAAUAGACUUUUGGGGGAGGGAUGUGUUGAAGAAGAACCCAAGGAAAUUGGAAAUACUCCUAAAACAUGAAGUGUGCCUUGGACUAGCUGUUUUCCAAGUGGUGCACGUGACAACGAGCAUUUGGUGUCCCAGGGUACAUACGUUGUCCUGCUGAUGGCGAAAGGAUCUCAAGCUCGAUCUGUUUUUUAUCAGCAUUCCAACUGAUGAUUUUCCCCUCCUUCAUAAAGCAACAAAGAAAGAAUCAGAUCCCUGAUGAUGCCACGUGUACCCAGACACGGUUUCUUCACAAGAGGAAAGUGCAAGAACCAAGUCUCCCACUCCUGGAUCCUGAUGCCGAUCACAGGCGCGGGUAGUCUUCCAGGACUCACAGUUCCAAAGGAUUUACGUUCAGGUCAGGCUGUGAGCGGAGAUCAGGGAGAUGGAUCCUGGUCUCCUCAACCACAGUGAUUUCAUUUCAAUUUACUUUUUUAUUUUGCAGUGAAGUGGAAUUAUUUAUAUGGUAAAAUUUGUAAUAAUAUUAUAGAAACGCUACAGAGAAAUACCAUAGAGGUAUCUUUCAUUUUUAUAGCACCUAAUUUUAAUGCUGACUUUCCUUGCAUGUUGGAAAGAGAGAGGUAACAUGCUUCUUUCUGGCCUUCUAUUUAAACAUAAACUUUGAAAAUAUGUCCAUGGUAAAGAGACUUUGUGAAGGUGCAGUGAGAAAAUGCUGUUAUUUGUGAGCUGACUAAUGUGCUGGCUAAGAGUCACUGUACAAACGUACACGGAGAUUCACACUGAAAUGGCAGCGGAGACAUUUCUUUGUUUAUGUUGUACAAAUAUAGGAAGUCUAAAGAAAUGCAUUUAACUCAUUCACAUGCUCCAAAUCUUUGUAAAAGUCAAAGUCAGACUUAAAACACAGGUUUUUAGAGCCAAAACCAGAAACCAUAACAGUUUGUUAUAUGGGAAACUACUAGGUUGGAAAGACAGUGAGAGAGAAGUGAAUGCUUUCAGAGAUGCCUGCAAACAUUAGACACAAGAAUUGUGCUGAGCCAUUUGCUUCAGUUUAAAACAAGACUUUUAGAAAAGAACAAAAAAGUAGGAUGAAGACUCCUUCCAAACUCUUAUACUUCAAGGGUUACGUCCCAGAACAAUGCAGGAUGAAGUUCUUCGGUGUAAGCUUUUUGAUGUCAGGACUGUGUGAUCUGUAGCGUGCCCUGCAGAACUUACCAUAGCCCAAAUGAAACAAUUUUAGCCCACUAACAUUGCGCAUUUCACAAGUUCUUUACCUUAAAGGCAAUUCUUUCUCCCACUUGUGGUGGAGCAGCAAGAAGAGGUAACACACUAUAGUCUCUCUUGGGGACCUCCACGGGACUCUGUGAAACGAACAGUAAAUUUAAUUACUGAUUUAAUUACUGCAUUAAUAAAACAGAAGACAAAGUU
Long non-coding RNA from Strigops habroptila (Kakapo), 2296 nucleotides. RefSeq lists it as uncharacterized. The record is from RefSeq and is a predicted model, not a curated record. The transcript is spliced from 6 exons. Lineage: Eukaryota; Metazoa; Chordata; Aves; Psittaciformes; Psittacidae.